RNAcentral lists this ribosomal RNA (520 nucleotides) under Acinetobacter soli. RNAcentral's name for it is "bacterial SSU rRNA". It matches the Rfam family "Bacterial small subunit ribosomal RNA", at positions 103 to 616 of the family's 1533-position model. Lineage: Bacteria; Pseudomonadati; Pseudomonadota; Gammaproteobacteria; Moraxellales; Moraxellaceae. The record is from RNAcentral.
CGGGUGAGUAAUGCUUAGGAAUCUGCCUAUUAGUGGGGGACAACAUCUCGAAAGGGAUGCUAAUACCGCAUACGUCCUACGGGAGAAAGCAGGGGAUCACUUGUGACCUUGCGCUAAUAGAUGAGCCUAAGUCGGAUUAGCUAGUUGGUGGGGUAAAGGCCUACCAAGGCGACGAUCUGUAGCGGGUCUGAGAGGAUGAUCCGCCACACUGGGACUGAGACACGGCCCAGACUCCUACGGGAGGCAGCAGUGGGGAAUAUUGGACAAUGGGGGGAACCCUGAUCCAGCCAUGCCGCGUGUGUGAAGAAGGCCUUAUGGUUGUAAAGCACUUUAAGCGAGGAGGAGGCUCUUUUGGUUAAUACCCAAGAUGAGUGGACGUUACUCGCAGAAUAAGCACCGGCUAACUCUGUGCCAGCAGCCGCGGUAAUACAGAGGGUGCAAGCGUUAAUCGGAUUUACUGGGCGUAAAGCGCGCGUAGGCGGCCAAUUAAGUCAAAUGUGAAAUCCCCGAGCUUAACUUG